AUUGAACGCUGGCGACAUGCCUUACACAUGCAAGUCGAACGGCAGCACGGGAGCAAUCCUGGUGGCGAGUGGCGAACGGGUGAGUAAAGUAUCGGAACGUGCCCAGUCGUGGGGGAUAACGUAGCGAAAGUUACGCUAAUACCGCAUACGAUCUAUGGAUGAAAGCGGGGGAUCGCAAGACCUCGCGCGAUUGGAGCGGACGAUAUAAGAUUAGGUAGUUGGGGGGGUAAAGGCUCACCAAGCCGACGAUCUGGAGCUGGUCUGAGAGGACGACCAGCCACACUGGGACUGAGACACGGCCCAGACUCCUACGGGAGGCAGCAGUGGGGAAUUUUGGACAAUGGGCGAAAGCCUGAUCCAGCCAUGCCGCGUGCAGGAUGAAGGCCUUCGGGUUGUAAACUGCUUUUGUACGGAACGAAAAGGUUUGGCCUAAUAAGCUGAGCUCAUGACGGUACCGUAAGAAUAAGCACCGGCUAACUACGUGCCAGCAGCCGCCGUAA
Molecule: ribosomal RNA, 500 nt
Filed under: uncultured bacterium
Lineage: Bacteria
Description: partial 16S ribosomal RNA
Rfam family: Bacterial small subunit ribosomal RNA
Source: RNAcentral